RNAcentral lists this ribosomal RNA (331 nucleotides) under uncultured eukaryote. Its description in RNAcentral is "partial 18S ribosomal RNA". It matches the Rfam family "Eukaryotic small subunit ribosomal RNA", at positions 1470 to 1796 of the family's 1831-position model. The record is from RNAcentral.
CCCUUAGAUGUCCGGGGCUGCACGCGCGCUACACUGAAGGAAUCAGCGUGCUAGAAAACCUUGUUUGACAUGGCUAGGUAACCCGUUGAAAAUCUUUCGUGAUUGGGAUCGGGACUUGCAAAUGUGUCCCUUGAACGAGGAAUUCCCAGUAAGUGCGGGUCAUAAGCUCGCGCUGAUUACGUCCCUGCCCUUUGUACACACCGCCCGUCGCUGCCCGGAACUGAGCCGUUUCGAGAAGACUGGGGACUGCGAACUUUGGGCUGGAAAACAGCUUUUUGUUUGUGGAAACCACUUUAAUCGCAGCGGCUUGAACCGGGCAAAAGUCGUAGCA